RNAcentral lists this ribosomal RNA (402 nucleotides) under Triticum aestivum (bread wheat). RNAcentral's name for it is "partial small subunit ribosomal RNA". Lineage: Eukaryota; Viridiplantae; Streptophyta; Magnoliopsida; Poales; Poaceae. The record is from RNAcentral.
AUGUCACACAAAAAAAGAGGUAAUCGGCCGUGGCAAAUUCAAGGACCAUGGUGCAUUUACCUCGAAGAAAAAUCCAAAAGGGAUGAUGCUCCAAGGGGGCCAACCGAGCAAAACACACAGAAAAAAAGUGGAGCACUGAAGUCAGCGAGACACAUAAUCCAAUCCACCUAUCUGUCCCUAGUUGCGCAAUAUCAGUCAGUAGCUGGGUCUCGAUCGCCCGCUGCUUGCUGCCACGGCGGCACCAUAGCAUCGAAGAUAUUUCUGAAUGGCCUAAUCAGGUUACACCCUAGCAUCCACACACCAACACCAAUAGAGCUGCCCAGCUCCGGCUCACUCGCACUCAAGACAGACCAGACAAAGCGAGCCAGGGGGACACCUGUUUGGUUCCAGCAAGAACUCUGA